UCAGCAACGGAUCUCUUGGCUCUCGCAUCGAUGAAGAACGCAGCGAAAUGCGAUAAGUAAUGUGAAUUGCAGAAUUCAGUGAAUCAUCGAAUCUUUGAACGCACCUUGCACUCCUUGGUAUUCCGAGGAGUACGCCUGUUUGAGGGUCAUAUGG
This 154-nucleotide ribosomal RNA is filed under the name Leucoagaricus sp. G219. Its description in RNAcentral is "5.8S ribosomal RNA". It matches the Rfam family "5.8S ribosomal RNA". From Rfam's summary of the family: 5.8S ribosomal RNA (5.8S rRNA) is a component of the large subunit of the eukaryotic ribosome. It is transcribed by RNA polymerase I as part of the 45S precursor that also contains 18S and 28S rRNA. Lineage: Eukaryota; Fungi; Basidiomycota; Agaricomycetes; Agaricales; Agaricaceae. The record is from RNAcentral.